RNAcentral lists this ribosomal RNA (502 nucleotides) under uncultured soil bacterium. Its description in RNAcentral is "bacterial SSU rRNA". It matches the Rfam family "Bacterial small subunit ribosomal RNA", at positions 26 to 524 of the family's 1533-position model. The record is from RNAcentral.
AGAUUGAACGCUAGCGGGAUGCUUUACACAUGCAAGUCGAACGGCAGCGCGGACUUCGGUCUGGCGGCGAGUGGCGAACGGGUGAGUAAUAUAUCGGAACGUGCCCAGUAGCGGGGGGAUAACUACGCGAAAGCGUGGCUAAUACCGCAUACGCCCUACGGGGGAAAGGGGGGGAUCGCAAGACCUCUCACUAUUGGAGCGGCCGAUAUCAGAUUAGCUAGUUGGUGAGGUAAAGGCUCACCAAGGCGACGAUCUGUAGCUGGUUUGAGAGGACGACCAGCCACACUGGGACUGAGACACGGCCCAGACUCCUACGGGAGGCAGCAGUGGGAAUUUUGGACAAUGGGGGAAACCCUGAUCCAGCCAUCCCGCGUGUGCGAUGAAGGCCUUCGGUUGUAAAGCACUUUUGGCAGGAAGAAACGGCGUGCCCUAAUACGGACGUCGACUGGCGGUACCUGCAGAAUAAGCACCGGCUAACUACGUGCCAGCAGCCGACGGUAAU